Molecule: ribosomal RNA, 428 nt
Filed under: uncultured bacterium
Lineage: Bacteria
Description: bacterial SSU rRNA
Rfam family: Bacterial small subunit ribosomal RNA
Source: RNAcentral
UGGGGAAUAUUGGACAAUGGGGGGAACCCUGAUCCAGCAAUGCCGCGUGUGUGAAGAAGGCCUUCGGGUUGUAAAGCACUUUCAGUGGGGAGGAAGGGGCGUGAGUUAAUACCUCACGUCAUUGACGUUACCCACAGAAGAAGCACUGGCUAACUCUGUGCCAGCAGCCGCGGUAAUACAGAGGGUGCAAGCGUUAAUCGGAAUGACUGGGCGUAAAGCGUGUGUAGGUGGUUAGAUAAGUUAGAUGUGAAAUCCCCGGGCUUAACCUGGGCACUGCGUUUAAGACUGUUUAACUAGAGUACUGUAGAGGAUAGUGGAAUUUCCAGUGUAGCGGUGAAAUGCGUAGAUAUUGGAAGGAACACCAGUGGCGAAGGCGACUAUCUGGAUAGAUACUGACACUGAGACACGAAAGCGUGGGGAGCAAACAG